GUCUACAGCCAUGCUUCCCUGAACAAGCCUGAUCCCAUCUGAUCUUGGAAGCUAAGCAGGAUUGGGCCUGGUUAGUGCUUGUAUAGGAGACUACCUAGGAAGACCAGGUGCUGUAGGAG
This 119-nucleotide ribosomal RNA is filed under the name Pteropus alecto (black flying fox). Lineage: Eukaryota; Metazoa; Chordata; Mammalia; Chiroptera; Pteropodidae. The record is from RNAcentral.